CACUCCUACGGGAGGCAGCAGUGGGGAAUUUUGGACAAUGGGCGAAAGCCUGAUCCAGCAAUGCCGCGUGAGUGAAGAAGGCCUUCGGGUUGUAAAGCUCUUUUGUCAGGGAAGAAACGGUGAAAGCUAAUAUCUUUUGCUAAUGACGGUACCUGAAGAAUAAGCACCGGCUAACUACGUGCCAGCAGCCGCGGUAAUACGUAGGGUGCAAGCGUUAAUCGGAAUUACUGGGCGUAAAGCGUGCGCAGGCGGUUUUGUAAGUCUGAUGUGAAAUCCCCGGGCUCAACCUGGGAAUUGCAUUGGAGACUGCAAGGCUAGAAUCUGGCAGAGGGGGGUAGAAUUCCACGUGUAGCAGUGAAAUGCGUAGAUAUGUGGAGGAACACCGAUGGCGAAGGCAGCCCCCUGGGUCAAGAUUGACGCUCAUGCACGAAAGCGUGGGGAGCAAACAGGAUUAGAUACCCCAGUAGUCCCAUGA
Molecule: ribosomal RNA, 475 nt
Filed under: uncultured organism
Description: partial 16S ribosomal RNA
Rfam family: Bacterial small subunit ribosomal RNA
Source: RNAcentral